GGGGCUGUAGUUCAGCUGGGAGAAUGCCUGCAUGGCAUGCAGGAGGUCGGGGGUUCGAGUCCCCCCAGCUCCN
Molecule: non-coding RNA, 73 nt
Organism: Chloroflexi bacterium GWC2_73_18
Lineage: Bacteria; Bacillati; Chloroflexota
Source: Rfam